Molecule: ribosomal RNA, 546 nt
Filed under: uncultured bacterium
Lineage: Bacteria
Description: bacterial SSU rRNA
Rfam family: Bacterial small subunit ribosomal RNA
Source: RNAcentral
CCUUACCAAGGUUUGACAUCACCCGUGGACCUGUAGAGAGUACAGGGUCGAUUUGGUUGGCGGGUGACAGGUGGUGCAUGGCUGUCGUCAGCUCGUGUCGUGAGAUGUUGGGUUAACGUCCGCAACGAGCGCAACCCUUGUUCCAUGUUGCCAGCACGUAGUGGUGGGGACUCAUGGGAGACUGCCGGGGUCAACUCGGAGGAAGGUGGGGACGACGUCAAGUCAUCAUGCCCCUUAUGUCUUGGGCUGCAAACAUGCUACAAUGGCCGGUACAAUGGGCGUGCGAUACCGUGAGGUGGAGCGAAUCCCUAAAAGCCGGUCUCAGUUCGGAUUGGGGUCUGCAACUCGACCCCAUGAAGGUGGAGUCGCUAGUAAUCGCGGAUCAGCAACGCCGCGGUGAAUACGUUCCCGGGCCUUGUACACACCGCCCGUCACGUCAUGAAAGUCGGCAACACCCGAAACUUGUGGCCUAACCCUUCGGGGAGGGAGUGAGUGAAGGUGGGGCUGGCGAUUGGGACGAAGUCGUAACAAGGUAGGCGUAGCGAG